UCCAGGGAGGACUAGUGGUUAGGCCUAGGCUCUCAACGCCAUGGCCCAGGUUCGAUUCCCGGCCAGGGAA
This is a non-coding RNA of Pangasius djambal, 70 nucleotides long. Lineage: Eukaryota; Metazoa; Chordata; Actinopteri; Siluriformes; Pangasiidae. The record is from the annotation of a GenBank genome assembly.